UGAGCAAUCUGCCCUUCUCUUUGGAAUAAGCGUUGGAAACGACGUCUAAUGCCGAAUACGACCUCCUUUCGCAUGAUCGGAGGUGGAAAGCUCCGGCGGAGAAGGAUGAGCUCGCGGCCUAUCAGCUAGUUGGUGUGGGUAAUGGCCCACCAAGGCGACGACGGGUAGCCGGCUUGAGAGGGUGACCGGCCACACUGGGACUGAGACACGGCCCAGACUCCUACGGGAGGNAGCG
This 235-nucleotide ribosomal RNA is filed under the name uncultured bacterium. Its description in RNAcentral is "partial 16S ribosomal RNA". It matches the Rfam family "Bacterial small subunit ribosomal RNA", at positions 118 to 353 of the family's 1533-position model. The record is from RNAcentral.